Molecule: ribosomal RNA, 773 nt
Filed under: uncultured Neocallimastigales
Lineage: Eukaryota; Fungi; Neocallimastigomycota; Neocallimastigomycetes; Neocallimastigales
Description: partial large subunit ribosomal RNA
Rfam family: Eukaryotic large subunit ribosomal RNA
Source: RNAcentral
GCAUCUGUGCAUGCAGCAUAUCAAUAAGCGGAGGAAAAGAAACUAACAAGGAUUCCCCUAGUAACGGCGAGUGAAGCGGGAAGAGCUCAAAUUUGAAAUCUUAAAGGGUUUCCCUUUACGAAUUGUAGUUUAAAGAAGUGUUUUCUGUUGAGGUUUUGGUAAAAGUUCUUUGGAAUAGGACAUCAUAGAGGGUGAGAAUCCCGUAUUUGACCUUCACUUUCAACUUUGUGAUACACUUUCAAAGAGUCGGAUUGUUUGGGAAUGCAGUCCAAAAUGGGUGGUAAAUUUCAUCUAAAGCUAAAUAUUGGCGAGAGACCGAUAGCGAACAAGUACCGUGAGGGAAAGAUGAAAAGAACUUUGAAAAGAGAGUUAAACAGUACGUGAAAUUGUCAAAAGGGAAGCGUUUGACACCAGUGUUGUUUUUCUGAAAAUCAAUUAAAGAACUGUUUAUGCUAAGUUGUUUAGACUUUAUCAGCUAUCUGUUUAGUUUUAGGCUUUUCUUUAAUGCACUUUUCAGUUAACAAGUCAACAUCAAUUUCUUUUGCUGUAAAAAAGCUUGAGGAAGGUGGCUUGAGAUUCGUCUUAAGUGUUUAUAGCCUCUUGCCUAUGCAGUCGGAGAGAUUGAGGUCUGCAGCGUAGAUCCUUCGGGGCUAAAUGCAUUUGUGCUAAGUUAUAACAUUUUAUAGACAACUUGUUGACUAUGAUUUGUCUUGUAGCUUACUCGCUUAUGUUAUUUUACCUACGCUUAGGAUGUUGAACGCGCACAGAGUCUC